GGUUGCUGGUUCAGAGCGUGUUCUACUACGUGUGCAAGGGCUUCCACCACCAGAUGAUCGACAAGAGCGCGCUGUAUGAUCACCUCGGAGGGUAUCUCGGGGAGUAUGUGCCUCUCAAGAGCUCGAUUCAGAUGGAAACCCUUUGAGCAGUAAGCACAAUGUAUCCCAUCUUUCUUUCUUUAUUUAGUAGCAGGGAACUGUUUUAGAUCUAGAAUUUGGUCUGCUUUACUAGAGAAUUGGUGUUGAGUGGAUAUAAUGAGCAGACCAAAUAUAUGCUUGGUGUAUCUUCGAC
Molecule: unclassified non-coding RNA, 292 nt
Filed under: Hevea brasiliensis (rubber tree)
Lineage: Eukaryota; Viridiplantae; Streptophyta; Magnoliopsida; Malpighiales; Euphorbiaceae
Source: RNAcentral